ACGUGAUGUCAGAACGUUCUCUCCAUUCCAGAAUGUGAUUGUUAUGCAACAGUACACUUAGUCCGCGCUGCCCUCAAACCAAGGCACGCAGCCUGUUUUUAUUUAUCGGCUGUUUCCAACUUGUCAAUUUCAAAAUUACUUUCUAACAAGUUUUUAUUUUCUAAGAACAGUUUGAAUUGAGGUGUGUUCCGCCUCCUCAUUCAUUCACAUAAAAGUAGUUAUUUUUACUUUUGAGGACAAUAAAAAAAAAAAAUAUCAUUUCUGACCUGGACAAAAUUCCCCAAGCACUUUGCAAUUGUUUGUGCAGUUCAAGUCUGCAGACAUUUGCGCAUCUCCAGUCAGAACAGGAUCUGCAUACACAUGUUCACAUUUUCUGUCUGUUGCCCGCAUCGCAUUCAUUGUUUUCGUUACCAAUAACAACUUUGGGAAUGGUUGCGUUUCUACCAAACUACCCUGGCUUUACGACUCCCAAGUGGCGCAACAGUUUAAGGAACAGCAUCUCACUGCUAGAGGCAUUGCUACAGACACCCUGGUUCAAAUCCAGGCUGCGAUUCUAUCAAAGUGGUCCACCUUCCCUGUGGCCGAUAUGGUUGCUGUCUGGACAGUGGAGAGGACAUGGACGUCUCGUUUGUCAUGCCACUUUACUGCCAGCUGUUGACUGUUCUCCUUGAACUCCACCUCCCCUCUCUGCAUCUUCCUGCAUCCGAAUGCUGGCAUCCCCUUCCUGUUCGACCUGACUGUGCCACAGGCUCCUGUCCUGUGCUGUUGAAAGAGCAGAAGCUACAAAGUGUGUCCCUUGCUGAGAUGAGGAGCCAGCAUGGUAAUCACCGUGGACCUGGACACCCCAAGCCCCUCAUAAUGUUGGAUGUCAGUGGUGGACCCUGGGUAAACUUGAACUUGACCCCAAACCUGUAACUUUCCUUAACAUCAGGUACUCAUUAAUGCAUAGGUCCUUGUAUGGCACAAAGACCCAACCAAAUGCUGAUGUCAGGCUGCUCCAAGGCAUAGCAAUUGGUCUCCUCUACUAUGUCUCCCACCAUCUCCUCUGUCAGAAACAACUUGAAGCACUCUGCCUCAGAGGGAAAUGGCAAGGGGCGUUGCUCUCCAGACUGGGACUCAUCAAAGCAAACAGCAGGGCCAGGAGGAGUGAAAUGGCUGGCGGCCUUCCAGCUACCACAAACCUCCUGUACUUCAUCCACUAUUGGUCUGCCUCCAUCACCACCAGCAUUUUCAAAGGGACCUGGGACUUCGUCAGUAGACAAGGAGUCCUCAGAUUCAGGGUUCUCAAUGGCUACAAGGUUGGGGGGCAGCUCCUCACUGUCAGAAUCUGAUUCCUGACUUCCAGACUCAUUGUCAGAAUUGAUAAAAAUCUCCAGAAUUUCAGCAUUUGUGAGUUAUCUCCUUUUGAAAGACAUUGCUCAUGCUACAGCUUAGCUACAUACAUAAACAACAACACUGAAUAGCUCAGAGUGGGAGUCAGAGAUUACGUGAUUGACUGCCGGCACGCGCCACUAGUAUCAAUAAAUCACUAUCACAAAGUGUUUUUUACUUUGUGAUUUACUUUAAAAGUUACUGUUUUAUUCACGUUUUCAAUUACCGGUGACAAAUCAUGCAUUCCGAUUCUUUCAUAGAUUACAAUGGACACAUAUUAUGUGUGUAAAAUAGUUUUUUGAAGGUUGUACUGAUUAUGAUGAGUUUAGCUACUUCUAGCUAUGUGUGGGGCCAUGUUUGUUGACAUACAAUGCAUUCUGGGUUCCACGUAAUCGUCUGUUAGACCAAAGAUGUUAUAACACAAUGAGGUGAGUGAGGGUUCACAAAUUUUUUGAAAACUUCCGGAAAUUAAUGGUGGAAUGAUGUGUACAAUGAUAGACGACACACCCCCUUCAACAUGCAUACUAUAAACAGACCAAACUCAUCUUGUCUUCUCGUAUUAUCUUUGGUUUCUGUGAGAGAAAAAACAUGACAGAAAGCAGAAACUACCCAUCGUCGGAUUACUGAUGAUGUGAUUAAUAAUAAAUAGCAAUUUAUAUUAGCUAAUUCAUUUUGUAGUUUAUGUCAGCUGAGAGUUGUCUAAAUAUGACCGUUAGUGUUACAUAAAUCUUUCCUCAGUUAGCUCUAGGACAAAAUGUAGCCUACAUUUUUCCGGUUUGGAUGAUUGUGUUAUGCUA
Oncorhynchus mykiss (rainbow trout) is the source of this 2168-nucleotide long non-coding RNA. RefSeq lists it as uncharacterized. NCBI's taxonomy places the organism in Eukaryota, Metazoa, Chordata, Actinopteri, Salmoniformes, Salmonidae. The record is from RefSeq and is a predicted model, not a curated record.